AGAGUUUGAUCCUGGCUCAGGAUGAACGCUGGCGGCGUGCCUAAUACAUGCAAGUCGAGCGAACGGACGAGAAGCUUGCUUCUCUGAUGUUAGCGGCGGACGGGUGAGUAACACGUGGAUAACCUACCUAUAAGACUGGGAUAACUUCGGGAAACCGGAGCUAAUACCGGAUAAUAUUUUGAACCGCAUGGUUCAAAAGUGAAAGACGGUCUUGCUGUCACUUAUAGAUGGAUCCGCGCUGCAUUAGCUAGUUGGUAAGGUAACGGCUUACCAAGGCAACGAUGCAUAGCCGACCUGAGAGGGUGAUCGGCCACACUGGAACUGAGACACGGUCCAGACUCCUACGGGAGGCAGCAGUAGGGAAUCUUCCGCAAUGGGCGAAAGCCUGACGGAGCAACGCCGCGUGAGUGAUGAAGGUCUUCGGAUCGUAAAACUCUGUUAUUAGGGAAGAACAUAUGUGUAAGUAACUGUGCACAUCUUGACGGUACCUAAUCAGAAAGCCACGGCUAACUACGUGCCAGCAGCCGCGGUAAUACGUAGGUGGCAAGCGUUAUCCGGAAUUAUUGGGCGUAAAGCGCGCGUAGGCGGUUUUUUAAGUCUGAUGUGAAAGCCCACGGCUCAACCGUGGAGGGUCAUUGGAAACUGGAAAACUUGAGUGCAGAAGAGGAAAGUGGAAUUCCAUGUGUAGCGGUGAAAUGCGCAGAGAUAUGGAGGAACACCAGUGGCGAAGGCGACUUUCUGGUCUGUAACUGACGCUGAUGUGCGAAAGCGUGGGGAUCAAACAGGAUUAGAUACCCUGGUAGUCCACGCCGUAAACGAUGAGUGCUAAGUGUUAGGGGGUUUCCGCCCCUUAGUGCUGCAGCUAACGCAUUAAGCACUCCGCCUGGGGAGUACGACCGCAAGGUUGAAACUCAAAGGAAUUGACGGGGACCCGCACAAGCGGUGGAGCAUGUGGUUUAAUUCGAAGCAACGCGAAGAACCUUACCAAAUCUUGACAUCCUUUGACAACUCUAGAGAUAGAGCCUUCCCCUUCGGGGGACAAAGUGACAGGUGGUGCAUGGUUGUCGUCAGCUCGUGUCGUGAGAUGUUGGGUUAAGUCCCGCAACGAGCGCAACCCUUAAGCUUAGUUGCCAUCAUUAAGUUGGGCACUCUAAGUUGACUGCCGGUGACAAACCGGAGGAAGGUGGGGAUGACGUCAAAUCAUCAUGCCCCUUAUGAUUUGGGCUACACACGUGCUACAAUGGACAAUACAAAGGGCAGCGAAACCGCGAGGUCAAGCAAAUCCCAUAAAGUUGUUCUCAGUUCGGAUUGUAGUCUGCAACUCGACUACAUGAAGCUGGAAUCGCUAGUAAUCGUAGAUCAGCAUGCUACGGUGAAUACGUUCCCGGGUCUUGUACACACCGCCCGUCACACCACGAGAGUUUGUAACACCCGAAGCCGGUGGAGUAACCUUUUAGGAGCUAGCCGUCGAAGGUGGGACAAAUGAUUGGGGUGAAGUCGUAACAAGGUAGCCGUAUCGGAAGG
Molecule: ribosomal RNA, 1524 nt
Filed under: Staphylococcus aureus VET0765S
Lineage: Bacteria; Bacillati; Bacillota; Bacilli; Caryophanales; Staphylococcaceae
Description: partial 16S ribosomal RNA
Rfam family: Bacterial small subunit ribosomal RNA
Source: RNAcentral